CAAUUUUGACCAUUUUUUAGUGUACAAUUCAGUGGCAUUAGGUACAGUCACAUCGCUGUGCAACCAUCACCGCCAUCCAUCUCUAGAACUGUUUCAUCUUCCCAAAUGGAAAUUCUGUCUCUGUUAAACGCUCAUUCCCCUUUCCCCCUCCCCCAGGUCUUGGCAACCAGCUUUCUACUUUCUCUCUAUGAAUUCAGCAACUCCAGGUACCUCGUAUCAGCAGAAUCAUACGAUAUUUGAUUUUUUGUGUGUCUGGUUUAUGUCACUUGGCAUAGUGUCCUCAAGGUUCCUGACUGACACAGGAGCCUAAUUUCUGGCCAAUGUCCUUCUCCAGGGGAAGAUGGCCGCUAUCGGGUCUAGAGUAGACAAUGGAUGAAGAGAACUAGAAUGACUUAAGAUUGAUCCAGAUGGUGGGAGAUGCUCAAAGCUUUUGUGAGAACGAGAAGGAAAGCACAGGGAGGAGGAAUACUGUAACUGAAGCUGGUGCAUUCUGAAAACAAGAGUCACAAUGUGAGCAUAACACCAGCCCCGCCAAGUGCCCUCCUGAUUCAUGAGUAAAAUGCCCAACGAAGCCCAAGAGCUAUGAACGGAACCAUCAAUCAAAGAGACUUAAUGGUUUUCUUGGAAGCAGCUCAGCAUAGCGAAUGAUGUUGAGACACC
Molecule: long non-coding RNA, 660 nt
Filed under: Homo sapiens (human)
Lineage: Eukaryota; Metazoa; Chordata; Mammalia; Primates; Hominidae
Description: HSALNT0398938
Source: RNAcentral